RNAcentral lists this ribosomal RNA (406 nucleotides) under uncultured bacterium. Its description in RNAcentral is "partial 16S ribosomal RNA". It matches the Rfam family "Bacterial small subunit ribosomal RNA", at positions 30 to 526 of the family's 1533-position model. The record is from RNAcentral.
AUUGAACGCUGGCGGCAGGCCUAACACAUGCAAGUCGAACGAGUGGUGGACGGGUGAGUAAUGUCUGGGAAACUGCCUGAUAGAGGGGGAUAACUACUGGAAACGGUAGCUAAUACCGCAUACCAUCGGAUGUGCCCAUAUGGGAUUAGCUAGUUGGUGGGGUAACGGCUCACCAAGGCGACGAUCCCUAGCUGGUCUGAGAGGAUGACCAGCCACACUGGAACUGAGACACGGUCCAGACUCCUACGGGAGGCAGCAGUGGGGAAUAUUGCACAAUGGGCGCAAGCCUGAUGCAGCCAUGCCGCGUGUAUGAAGAAGGCCUUCGGGUUGUAAAGUACUUUCAGCGGGGAGGCGUUACCCGCAGAAGAAGCACCGGCUAACUCCGUGCCAGCAGCCGCGGUAAUUC